UACAGGGGGGGCAAGCGUUGUUCGGAAUUACUGGGCGUAAAGGGUUCGUAGGCGGCCAACUAAGUCACACGUGAAAUCCCCAGGCUUAACCUGGGAACUGCGUGUGAUACUGGAUGGCUUGAAUCCGGGAGAGGAAUGCGGAAUUCCAGGUGUAGCGGUGAAAUGCGUAGAUAUCUGGAGGAACACCGGUGGCGAAGGCGGCAUUCUGGACCGGCAUUGACGCUGAUGAACGAAAGCCAGGGGAGCAAACGGG
RNAcentral lists this ribosomal RNA (253 nucleotides) under uncultured bacterium. RNAcentral's name for it is "partial 16S ribosomal RNA". It matches the Rfam family "Bacterial small subunit ribosomal RNA", at positions 524 to 776 of the family's 1533-position model. The record is from RNAcentral.